AGCACCAAUUUAGAAAUCGAAGAGGGAAAUUCAACAGUCAAAGACACGCUAGCUUUCUCAAAAGCUGAGCUUCAACCCACGGGCAAAUCUUCUUUUCCAGAUUUAUCCGCACGUGUCACAUACUACCUCUACAAUCGACGAUGCUCAGAGCUCGAAGCGCCGAUUCCAGAUAUCAAUGAGGAAUCUGCUUUGCGGAAAUCACGAAUAGCUGGUCGAAAAUUUAUG
Molecule: long non-coding RNA, 225 nt
Filed under: Malus domestica (apple)
Lineage: Eukaryota; Viridiplantae; Streptophyta; Magnoliopsida; Rosales; Rosaceae
Description: long non-coding RNA (MDOM_LNC010615)
Source: RNAcentral